AUGCAAGUCGAGGGGAAACGGCAUUAAGUGCUUGCACUUUUUGGACGUCGACCGGCGCACGGGUGAGUAACGCGUAUCCAACCUUCCCAUGACUAAGGGAUAACCUGCCGAAAGGCAGACUAAUACCUUAUGGUCUUCACUGACGGCAUCAGAUGUGAAGUAAAGAUUUAUCGGUUAUGGAUGGGGAUGCGUCUGAUUAGUUAGUUGGCGGGGUAACGGCCCACCAAGGCAACGAUCAGUAGGGGUUCUGAGAGGAAGGUCCCCCACAUUGGAACUGAGACACGGUCCAAACUCCUACGGGAGGCAGCAGUGAGGAAUAUUGGUCAAUGGGCGAGAGCCUGAACCAGCCAAGUAGCGUGCAGGAUGACGGCCCUAUGGGUUGUAAACUGCUUUUGUAUGGGGAUAAAGUCAAUCACGUGUGAUUGUUUGCAGGUACCAUACGAAUAAGGACCGGCUAAUUCCGUGCCAGCAGCCGCGGUAAUACGGAAGGUCCGGGCGUUAUCCGGAUUUAUUGGGUUUAAAGGGAGCGUAGGCUGGAGAUUAAGUGUGUUGUGAAAUGUAGACGCUCGACGUCUGACUUGCAGCGCAUACUGGUUUCCUUGAGUACGCACAACGUUGGCGGAAUUCGUCGUGUAGCGGUGAAAUGCUUAGAUAUGACGAAGAACUCCGAUUGCGAAGGCAGCUGACGGGAGCGCAACUGACGCUGAAGCUCGAAGGUGCGGGUAUCGAACAGGAUUAGAUACCCUGGUAGUCCGCACAGUAAACGAUGGAUGCCCGCUGUUGGUACCUGGUAUCAGCGGAUAAGCGAAAGCACUAAGCAUCCCA
RNAcentral lists this ribosomal RNA (825 nucleotides) under uncultured Bacteroidota bacterium. RNAcentral's name for it is "bacterial SSU rRNA". It matches the Rfam family "Bacterial small subunit ribosomal RNA", at positions 55 to 871 of the family's 1533-position model. The record is from RNAcentral. Lineage: Bacteria; Pseudomonadati; Bacteroidota.